GCAGCCGCGGUAAUACGUAGGUUGCAAGCGUUGUCCGGAAUUACUGGGUGUAAAGGGCGUGUAGGCGGAGAUGCAAGUCGGGAGUGAAAUCCAUGGGCUCAACCCAUGAACUGCUCUCGAAACUGUAUCCCUUGAGUAUCGGAGAGGCAAGCGGAAUUCCUAGUGUAGCGGUGAAAUGCGUAGAUAUUAGGAGGAACACCAGUGGCGAAGGCGGCUUGCUGGACGACAACUGACGCUGAGGCGCGAAAGCGUGGGGAGCAAACAGGAUUAGAUACCCC
Molecule: ribosomal RNA, 278 nt
Filed under: uncultured Alloprevotella sp.
Lineage: Bacteria; Pseudomonadati; Bacteroidota; Bacteroidia; Bacteroidales; Prevotellaceae
Description: partial 16S ribosomal RNA
Rfam family: Bacterial small subunit ribosomal RNA
Source: RNAcentral